Non-coding RNA from Ameiurus melas (black bullhead), 71 nucleotides. NCBI's taxonomy places the organism in Eukaryota, Metazoa, Chordata, Actinopteri, Siluriformes, Ictaluridae. The record is from the annotation of a GenBank genome assembly.
GGUGGUGGUACAUUGGUUCGGAUGUUGGACGUCUGAUUGGAAGGUCGUGUGUUCAAAUCCCACCACCACCA